CUAUCUCUAAGAGGAGAAAAGGUAGGAAACAAAUAAACAGAUAUGUGAUUGGGAAAAUAGAAGACAAAAAAAUUGCACUGGACCAGCAAAGAGACUACAACUUUAUAUCAUGAAGCUACUAUGGUGGAAAACUCCUAGACCAGCCCCAGGUUUCCUGCCAUGAACUUGGAUCCGGGACCCCAACCUGCAUAUGGUGAUUUUUGCCCUUGUCGCCCUGUAGGAAUUCAACUUCCUAGGGUCCAGCGGCCCAUGGCUUUAGCCUCCAUCCAGGUUGUUUCUGUUCUGUUUCUGGUUCACAGUGAGUUUAAAGUACAGCUAUAUCUUUUUGGUUUGGCAUUUAAUAUUUUAUUUAUCAUUUUUAUAUAUUUGGAUUGGGAUAGUGAGAUUUUAAUGCAUAAGUUUAUAGCACCACCACAACCAGAAAUCUUUGAAGAAUUCUUUAAGCUCAAUUUAAGUAAAUGAGAACCUAUUGUUAAAAAUAGUGUUAUUUGACAAUCCAUGUGUUGUAAAUAAUUUGUAUGAACCUGUGGUCAUUGCUGCUGUUAGGUUUCCAAUGAAUGUUAGAAGGUAUCUAAGAAUAAAAAAUUUUCCUUUGGAACAAUCCAGGAAAAAUCAAAGCGGUGGGGGGCGGUCAAUAUUUCUUUAUUCAGGGUCUGGGUGUGCCAUAGACUGCACACAUCUACAUUACUCUUAAUAUUAGAAUCUAUUCUAUGUUACCAGAUUUAAUUUUUAAUCAAUGUUUUAAUGCAAAGUGUUUCUAAUAUUUUAUCUGAAUAUUUCCCAGCUAAUAUAAAAAUUACCUUCUAUAAUAACAGUGUAACUCCUCAUGAAAUAGAAUCAAUUAUGAACAGAAAAAUCAAAUUGAAAUAUUGUAAUGUGCUUGAAUUCCUUGGGUAGCUGUUCUAGUGGUCAUUUAAUCAGCAUGAAAUGAUGUGAAGAGGUGAUCUUCUACCAUAUGAUGGCAGAAGGAUAACAUGAUCUGAAGCCAAGAGCCAAAAGCAGAAGCUUUUGAAAUUACUUAGUCUUCUAAGCUUGGAGGUUAUCAAAUUCUCUCACAUCAGAUUCAGUCUUCUUGUGUGACACCUAAGUUCCAUCAAGAUUCAAGGAGAUUUUAUCAACUAUGUAGUGACCACAUCUUCUCUCCAACUUCACCAUCCCCUGACUUCUUUAUUUCUAGACCAGCUUUGUCCACUGUGGUAGCCACUAGUCACAUAUGAUAUAGAGCAUUAGAUACAGAGCUGUCUCUAAUUGAGAUAUGCUGUGUGUGAAACACAGCCUAAUUGCAAAGAUAGUAUGAAAUAUGAAUGCAAAAUGCCUCAUUAUUGUUAUACAUUAUUACUUAUUGAUUGUAUGUUAAAAUGAAAAUAUUUUGGAUACAUUGG
RNAcentral lists this long non-coding RNA (1382 nucleotides) under Homo sapiens (human). Its description in RNAcentral is "HSALNT0188033". Lineage: Eukaryota; Metazoa; Chordata; Mammalia; Primates; Hominidae. The record is from RNAcentral.